AUGCACGCUGGCGGCGUGCUUCACACCUGCAAGUCGAACGGAAAGGCUCCUGCUUGCAGGGGUACUCGAGUGGCGAACGGGUGAGUAACACGUGGGUGAUCUGCCCUGCACUUCGGGAUAAGCCUGGGAAACUGGGUCUAAUACCGGAUAGGACGAUGGUUUGGAUGCCAUUGUGGAAAGUUUUUCUGUGUGGGAUGAGCUCGCGGCCUAUCAGCUUGUUGGUGGGGUAAUGGCCUACCAAGGCGUCGACGGGUAGCCGGCCUGAGAGGGUGUACGGCCACAUUGGGACUGGGAUACGGCCCAGACUCCUACGGGAGGCAGCAGUGGGGAAUAUUGCACAAUGGGCGCAAGCCUGAUGCAGCGACGCCGCGUGGGGGAUGACGGCCUUCGGGUUGUAAACUCCUUUCGCUAGGGACGAAGCGUUUUGUGACGGUACCUGGAGAAGAAGCACCGGCUAACUACGUG
RNAcentral lists this ribosomal RNA (465 nucleotides) under uncultured bacterium. RNAcentral describes it as "partial 16S ribosomal RNA". It matches the Rfam family "Bacterial small subunit ribosomal RNA", at positions 29 to 507 of the family's 1533-position model. The record is from RNAcentral.